GUGGGGAAUAUUGGACAAUGGGCGAAAGCCUGAUCCAGCCAUGCCGCGUGUGUGAAGAAGGUCUUCGGAUUGUAAAGCACUUUAAGUUGGGAGGAAGGGCAGUAAGUUAAUACCUUGCUGUUUUGACGUUACCGACAGAAUAAGCACCGGCUAACUUCGUGCCAGCAGCCGCGGUAAUACGAAGGGUGCAAGCGUUAAUCGGAAUUACUGGGCGUAAAGCGCGCGUAGGUGGUUUUGUAAGUUGGAGGUGAAAUCCCAGGGCUCAACCUGGGAACUGCCUGCAAAACUGCAUGACUAGAGUACGGUAGAGGGUAGUGGAAUUUCCUGUGUAGCGGUGAAAUGCGUAGAUAUAGGAAGGAACACCAGUGGCGAAGGCGACUACCUGGACUGAUACUGACACUGAGGUGCGAAAGCGUGGGGAGCAAACAGGAUUAGAAACCCCGGUAGUCC
RNAcentral lists this ribosomal RNA (450 nucleotides) under uncultured bacterium. RNAcentral describes it as "partial 16S ribosomal RNA". It matches the Rfam family "Bacterial small subunit ribosomal RNA", at positions 354 to 796 of the family's 1533-position model. The record is from RNAcentral.